This 637-nucleotide ribosomal RNA is filed under the name uncultured Staphylococcus sp. RNAcentral's name for it is "bacterial SSU rRNA". It matches the Rfam family "Bacterial small subunit ribosomal RNA", at positions 95 to 719 of the family's 1533-position model. Lineage: Bacteria; Bacillati; Bacillota; Bacilli; Caryophanales; Staphylococcaceae. The record is from RNAcentral.
GCGGCGGACGGGUGAGUAACACGUGGAUAACCUACCUAUAAGACUGGGAUAACUUCGGGAAACCGGAGCUAAUACCGGAUAAUAUUUUGAACCGCAUGGUUCAAAAGUGAAAGACGGUCUUGCUGUCACUUAUAGAUGGGUCCGCGCUGCAUUAGCUAGUUGGUAAGGUAACGGCUUACCAAGGCAACGAUGCAUAGCCGACCUGAGAGGGUGAUCGGCCACACUGGAACUGAGACACGGUCCAGACUCCUACGGGAGGCAGCAGUAGGGAAUCUUCCGCAAUGGGCGAAAGCCUGACGGAGCAACGCCGCGUGAGUGAUGAAGGUCUUCGGAUCGUAAAACUCUGUUAUUAGGGAAGAACAUAUGUGUAAGUAACUGUGCACAUCUUGACGGUACCUAAUCAGAAAGCCACGGCUAACUACGUGCCAGCAGCCGCGGUAAUACGUAGGUGGCAAGCGUUAUCCGGAAUUAUUGGACGUAAAGCGCGCGUAGGCGGUUUUUUAAGUCUGAUGUGAAAGCCCACGGCUCAACCGUGGAGGGUCAUUGGAAACUGGAAAACUUGAGUGCAGAAGAGGGAAGUGGAAUUCCAUGUGUAGCGGUGAAAUGCGCAGAGAUAUGGAGGAACACCAGUGGCGAA